This 1215-nucleotide ribosomal RNA is filed under the name Triticum aestivum (bread wheat). RNAcentral describes it as "partial small subunit ribosomal RNA". Lineage: Eukaryota; Viridiplantae; Streptophyta; Magnoliopsida; Poales; Poaceae. The record is from RNAcentral.
AUGGCUUUCCGCGCUCCAACUGCCGCCACUGCCCAUGGCCAUGCCACCCCGGCUCCUCGACCGAGCUCAUGGAAGCACAGCACCAUCACCUUCUUCAGCUCCUCGAGGCUAAUCGGCGGCGGCGGCGGCCAGAGGGCACGGCUCGCGACUGCAGCGCAUGCGUUAUCGUCGGCGACGGCGGCGGCGCCCUUCCCUCCUCCCAACGCGGAGUACCUGGCCGCCGAGUUCUCCGGCCACGGCGUCACCUUCGAGGCCGUGGGCGACAGCUGCGCCGUGAAGAUGGCGGUGCGCAACGGCAGCGCGGCGCACCUGCUGCUGCCCAGCGGGCUGGUCACGUCCUACAAGCCGGCCAUGUGGCACGGCGCCGCCACGGAGGUGCUCCACACCACCGUCGGCGAGGGCCCCGGCGGGCGCCCCGUCAUCCGCGGCGGCGUGUCCAUGGACUUCCGGUGUGCGCGCACCGUUGCCGUUGCCGGCGAGGCGCCGUCGUGGUGGUCGCCGGGCGGGGCGUGGUCGCUCCGCGACGUGAGGGGAGGCCCCACGGGGUCCAUCUCGGUGGAGCUGGUGUCCGUGGAGCCGCCGGGGAGCGGGGACGGGGCGGAGGCGAGGUGCGUGGUGACGCUGCAGCCGGAGGCGCUGGCGUCCGAGUACACGGUGACGAACGCCGCGUCGUCGCCGUCGGCCGCGGCGCUGUCGGGCGCCGUGUGCAACCACCUGCGCGUGAGCACGCCCGACGCCACCUACGCCGUGGGGCUCCAGGGCUCGGACUACCGCGGCAGGGAGCCCCUGCUGUCCGAGUUCAGCAUCCUCCCCCCGGACUACUACUCCAUGCCGUCAUCCCCGCAGCCGCGCUGGGUCAGCAAGGGGCUGGACAUGCUCCUCUCCGGCGGCGGGGGCGGGCAGAGCUCGCCGAGGGGGGCACCGGAGCCGGACGGCGAGGAGGACGACAACUACAAGCACCUGACGGCGGAGCUGUGCCGGGUGUACCGGCACGCGCCCAGGGAGUUCACCGUCAUCGACAGGGGCCGGAGGAACUCGGUUUGCCUGAGCAGGAGAGGGUUCGAGGAGCUGUACGUCUUCAGCCCGGGAUCCAAGUACGAGUGGUACGGCAAGUUCGCCUACGUGUGCAUCGGGCCUGCCAUGCUGGAGCCCGUGGUGCUGCCGCCAGGAGCUACGUGGCAUGGGGCGCAGUGCAUCCGCAACCCAAACCUGUAG